AAUGCCUGAGGAAUGUCAUAUAUAUCCCAUGGAGGGUGGGAGGAGGGGUUGCGGGCUAUCCGCUUCUGCUUUGUCCUCAGCUUGCCUUCUGUUCCUCAUCAGUACUGGGAUGGUAGGUCAUCCCAAAUGGACUUGCUGGGCACCUAAGUGUGGGGGAGGGGGAGAGUGCUAUAACCCCUUUUCUUCACCCAGUGAAACCUUUGGUUUUGAAAGAAUAUAGAAGGAAGAAUUGCAAUGAUGAGCAUGGGGAGAGAGGUGAGAAUAGAGAAGCCCCUAAUGGAUUCAAGAACAGGACAGGGACAGGAUGUGACCAGGAAAAUGUAAGCAACCUUGGAAUCUACAGAAAUCCUGGGAAGGGAGCUGCCUUGCCAUCUACUGUGACAAGGGAAAAGAAGCCAGUUUAUUUGGCUGUUGAAAGAUUAGGAACAGCCUAAGUGCUCAUCAAGAAGAAGAUCCUUGCAUAAACUAUGGUACAUCCAUACAACAGAAUCAUAAUGGGAUGGAUACAAAGGACAAAGUACUCACUCUGUACCCUGAAGUGGAAACAGAGCCAAGACAAAAUGUUAAAUGAGAAAAGCAAGUUGUACAGUUGUACGAAGUUGUACAAAGAAUAUGAUCCCAGCUCUAAGAAGAAACAAGGAUCCCUGAGUGAUGUGCAAAGGAUUGCUGGUCUGACCGCAGGUACUGCCCAGUUGGUCCUGAGCACCAGCUGCCUUUCUCCAGGUGAUGAGCUCUGAGGAACAGGGGAAAGAGGUAAAGGCAAAGAAUAUAUGAAAGCUGAACGUAUCCAUUGUGAUCAGGGAUACAAUUUUCUUGGAAGGCUCUUGUAGUAUACAAGGAUGCUGCUUAUAUUUCACUGGUCACACUGGACUACAUGACCACCCCUAACUGCAAUGAAGUCUGGGAGGUG
Molecule: long non-coding RNA, 910 nt
Organism: Mustela lutreola (European mink)
Lineage: Eukaryota; Metazoa; Chordata; Mammalia; Carnivora; Mustelidae
Exons: 3
Source: RefSeq, a predicted model, not a curated record